CGCAUCUGUGCAUGCAGCAUAUCAAUAAGCGGAGGAAAAGAAACUAACAAGGAUUCCCUUAGUAACGGCGAGUGAAGCGGGAAGAGCUCAAAUUUGAAAUCUUCAAGGUUUUACCUUGACGAAUUGUAGUUUAAAGAAGUGUUUUCUGUUGAAGUUUUGGUAAAAGUUCUUUGGAAUAGGACAUCAUAGAGGGUGAGAAUCCCGUACUUGACCAUUAUUUUCAGCUGUGUGAUACACUUUCAAAGAGUCGGAUUGUUUGGGAAUGCAGUCCAAAAUGGGUGGUAAAUUUCAUCUAAAGCUAAAUAUUGGCGAGAGGCCGAUAGCGAACAAGUACCGUGAGGGAAAGAUGAAAAGAACUUUGAAAAGAGAGUUAAACAGUACGUGAAAUUGUCAAAAGGGAAGCGUUUGACACCAGUGUUGUUUUCUCGAAAAUCAAUUAAAAAGAGUUUGAUUUUGUUGUGUAUUGACCUUAACAGCUUGCAUUUCAAUUUUCUUGCUUUUUUUAAUGCACUUUUCGUUUAACAAGUCAACAUCAGUUUCUUUUGUUGUAAAAAGGUCAUUGGAAGGUGGCUUUCUUUUCGGAGAAAGUGUUUAUAGCCUUUGACUCCUGCAAUCGGAGAGACUGAGGUCUGCAGCGUAGAUCCUUCGGGGUUAGAUACAUUUGUGCUAAGUUAUAGCUUUUUAUAGACAACUUGUUGACUAUGAUUAGUCUUGUAGCUUACUCGCUUAUGCUAUUUUACCUACGCUUAGGAUGUUGACACACGCGCGUGCUCG
Molecule: ribosomal RNA, 774 nt
Filed under: uncultured Neocallimastigales
Lineage: Eukaryota; Fungi; Neocallimastigomycota; Neocallimastigomycetes; Neocallimastigales
Description: partial large subunit ribosomal RNA
Rfam family: Eukaryotic large subunit ribosomal RNA
Source: RNAcentral